GACGAACGCUGGCGGCGUGCUUAACACAUGCAAGUCGAACGGAAAGGCCCUGCUUUUGUGGGGUGCUCGAGUGGCGAACGGGCGAGUAACACGUGAGUAACCUGCCCUUGACUUUGGGAUAACUUCAGGAAACUGGGGCGAAUACCGGAUAGGAGCUCCUGCUGCAUGGUGGGGGUUGGAAAGUUUCGGCGGUUGGGGAUGGACUCGCGGCUUAUCAGCUUGUUGGUGGGGUAGUGGUUUACCAAGGCUUUGACGGGUAGCCGGCCUGAGAGGGUGACCGGCCACCUUGGGACUGAGAUACGGCCCAGAAUCCUAUGGGAGGCAGCAGUGGGGAACAUUGCAGAAUGGGCGGACGCCUGAUGCAGCAACGCCGCGUGCGGGAUGACGGCCUUCGGGUUGUAAACCGCUUUCGCCUGUGACGAAGCGUGAGUGACGGUAAUGGGUAAAGAAGCACCGGCUAACUACGUG
RNAcentral lists this ribosomal RNA (468 nucleotides) under uncultured bacterium. RNAcentral describes it as "partial 16S ribosomal RNA". It matches the Rfam family "Bacterial small subunit ribosomal RNA", at positions 28 to 507 of the family's 1533-position model. The record is from RNAcentral.